Long non-coding RNA from Hypanus sabinus (Atlantic stingray), 1504 nucleotides. RefSeq lists it as uncharacterized. Lineage: Eukaryota; Metazoa; Chordata; Chondrichthyes; Myliobatiformes; Dasyatidae. The record is from RefSeq and is a predicted model, not a curated record. The transcript has 2 exons.
AGUUUACUGCUAGUCACCCAGCCUCUCAUCUUCUCUUGUGACAUCAAGAUUUACAUUGAGUCUCUGGUCAAUGGUGCUCUCCCCCAACCCCCUCAAAGUUUUUAAUGGUGAUGGAUGUACGUGGUAAAGGCAUUAAAAAUUAAAGGUGGCUGGUUAUCCCCUCCUUUCUUGAGGAUGCCAUUUUUUGUAGCACUGAUGUUGCUUGCCACAUAUUAAUCCCACACAACACCUUCACAGCUUGGGCUGUCGGAAUUUGGAGCUCAAACCUGGUGUCCUCUGUAAGGAGUCUCUAUGUCCUCCCCAAGUGCUCUGGUCUCCUCCCACCAUCAAAAGACGUACCAGGUAGGUUAACUGCUCAUUUAAAUUGUCCCAGGAUUAGGUUAGGCCUAAAUCAGGGUUGUCAGGGGCUACAGGGACAGCACUGCUCGAGCAGCCGGAAGGCCCUACUCCACACUGUAUCUCUAAAUAAAUAACUAACUCAUGCUUCAGGCUGCAAGUCAUCCAUUAUUUAACAUUUUAACCAAACAAACCGUGCAUACAGAUUCCAAUUUGGAUACCAUCACAGUUAUCCACAUUAAUAGACACCCGCCAAACCCCACAAUUCAAUUCUGUCUUGUAAUCACGAGCAGGAACUUAUUCUAUACAUAAACCUACUGUAUCUCUCCAAUAACUUCCAGGAGAGUAUGAACCAUUUGAACUACUUGACUGUAUUCAAUCUACCAAUCACUCAAAAGAUCAAAUAUGAAGUACCUAAAUCUCUCAAUUAGGUCAAUAGGUAUCCUCUCAAAUCCUUGAUUAGAAUCAGUCUAGAAUCGUUCCACAUCCAUUAUUCUGUACACAAUGCCCUGAACCUCUCGAUUAGAAUCCAGUGUGUAAUCACUCCCAGGUAUCCAUUGUUCUAUAUAUGACCUCCUGAACCCCUGGACUAGAAUCCAGUCUGUAAAUACUCCCAGUUAUUCAUUACUCUGUAUAUAAACUCCCUGACCCCGUCCAUUGGACUCCAGACUGUUAUCACUCCCGGAACGAUGUGCUCUGCUAAGGCUGGACCAGAUGCCUCAGGUGUGCGGGGAUCGGUGCAGCCCUGCUAUCCAGCUCCAGGUAUGGGAUGGCUUCGUGAGGAUACCCGUCCCAAUUCCGGAAUGCAAGAAGCUGCGGAGAGACCAUUGUGAGGAUGGACCUCUUCAUUAUUGACAGAAUCUAUAGGAGGCACUGCCUCAAGAAGCUGACAUCAAACAUCAUCCGCGUCUUGCCCUCUUCUUGUUGCCACUGUCAGGGAGAAGGUACAAAAGCCUGAAGUCCCCACCCCAUCUGGUUUAGGAACUGCUACUUUCCUUGAACAAACCUGCAGAACCCUAACCAUACCUAAGCAAUGGGACACUAUGAACACCUCUUCCACUAACAUGGACAUUGUUUUGUAUGUUUAUUGCAUUAUGUAUUUGAUAUAACUUGUCCUCUGAUUUGUAUCUAUUCAUUUUAAAAAAUCAAUAAAAAAGAUUGAAAAUGA